RNAcentral lists this long non-coding RNA (2406 nucleotides) under Oryzias javanicus (javanese ricefish). Its description in RNAcentral is "lncRNA (ENSOJAG00000018415.1)". Lineage: Eukaryota; Metazoa; Chordata; Actinopteri; Beloniformes; Adrianichthyidae. The record is from RNAcentral.
AUGGACAGGAGGGAAGAUUAUGACGUCUAUGGUAACCUUCUACCUAGACGGAGAACCCGUGAAACUGCCAGAGUAAAAAGGAGGCAGGAGAUGGGCUCACCACCACUGCCUCUUCUGGACCGCCAUAACCCUAUGACAAAACAUAGGCUGCAAGGCAUUAAAAAAGCACAAAAGCUCAAACAGGAGCAAAUGCAAAAGGAGCUCCAAAGUCAGUGCAAGAAGUCUGACACAAGGGAGCUUACAAAAAAAAGCCUACAGGUGCCAAAGCCAGAACCAACAAAAAACUGGCUUAAAGACACGAGAGAGGAAUAUCGUCACGUGUCUGGGGAAGUUCUCCUACAUCUUAAUCGGAAAACUUCCAUGAUAAAAAGUAGGCAGGAGAUGGCAGCAGAAAAGCUCGAACAGGAGCAAAUGCAAGCCAUGCAAAAUGAGCUCCAAAGUCAGUGCAAGAAGUCUGACACAAGGAAGCUUACAAAAAAAAGCCUACAGGUGCCAAAGCCAGAACCAACAAAAAACUGGCUUAAAGACACGAGACAGGAAUAUCGUGACGUGUCUGGGGAAGUUCUCCGACAUCUUAAUCGGGAAAGUUCCAUGAUAGAAAGUAGGCAGGAGAUGGCAGCAGAAAAGCUCGAACAGGAGCAAAUGCAAGCCAUGCAAAAUGAGCUCCAAAGUCAGUGCAAGAAGUCUGACAUAAGGGAGCUUACAAGAAAAAGCCUACAGGUGCCAAAGCCAGAACCAACAAAAAACUGGCUUAAAGACACGAGACAAGAAUAUCGUGACGUGUCUGGGGAAGUUCUCCGACAUCUUAAUCGGGAAACUUCCAUGAUAAAAAGUAGGCAGGAGAUGGCAGCAGAAAAGCUCGAACAGGAGCAAAUGCAAACCAUGCAAAAUGAGCACCAAAGUCAGUGGAAGAAGUCUGACAUAAGGGAGCUUACAAGAAAAGGCCUACAGGUGCCAAAGCCAAAACCAACAAAAAACUGGCUUAAAGACACAAGACAGGAAUAUCGUGACGUGUCUGGGGAAGUUCUCCGACAUCUUAAUCGGGAAACUUCCAUGAUAGAAAGUAGGCAGGAGAUGGCAGCAGAAAAGCUCGAACAGGAGCAAAUGCAAGCCAUGCAAAAUGAGCACCAAAGUAAGUGGAAGACGUCUGACAUAAGGGAGCUUAAAAUAAAAGGCCUACAGGUGCCAAAGCCAGAACCAACAAAAAACUGGCUUAAAGACACAAGACAGGAAUAUCGUGACGUGUCUGGGAAAGUUCUCCGACAUCUUAAUCGAGAAAGUUCCAUGAUAGAAAGUAGGCAGGAGAUGGCAGCAGAAAAGCUCGAACAGGAGCAAAUGCAAGCCAUGCAAAAUGAGCUCCAAAGUCAGUGCAAGAAGUCUGACAUAAGGGAGCUUACAAAAAAAAGCAGACAGGUGCCAAAGCCAGAACCAACAAAAAACUGGCUUAGAGACACAAGACAGGAAUAUCGUCACGUGUCUGGGGAAGUUCUCCUACAUCUUAAUCGGGAAAGUUCCAUGAUAGAAAGUAGGCAGGAGAUGGCAGCAGAAAAGCUCGAACAGGAGCAAAUGCAAGCCAUGCAAAAUGAGCUCCAAAGUCAGUGGAAGAAGUCUGACACAAGGAAGCUUACAAAAAAAAGCAGAAAGGUGCCAAAGCCAGAACCAACAAAAAACUGGCUUAAAGACACAAGACAGGAAUAUCGAGAUGUGUCUGGGAAAGUUCUCCGACAUCUUAAUCGGGAAACUUCCAUGAUAGAAAGUAGGCAGGAGAUGGCAGCAGAAAAGCUCGAACAGGAGCAAAUGCAAGCCAUGCAAAAUGAGCACCAAAGUCAGUGGAAGAAGUCUGACAUAAGGGAGCUUAAAAUAAAAGGCCUACAGGUGCCAAAGCCAGAACCAACAAAAAACUGGCUUAAAGACACAAGACAGGAAUAUCGUGACGUGUCUGGGGAAGUUCUCCUACAUCUUAAUCGGGAAAGUUCCAUGAUAGAAAGUAGGCAGGAGAUGGCAGCAGAAAAGCUCGAACAGGAGCAAAUGCAAGCCAUGCAAAAUGAGCUCCAAAGUCAGUGGAAGAAGUCUGACACAAGGAAGCUUACAAAAAAAAGCCUACAGGUGCCAAAGCCAGAACCAACAAAAAACUGGCUUAAAGACACAAGACAGGAAUAUCGUCACGUGUCUGGGGAAGUUCUCCUACAUCUUCAUCGGGACACUGACAGGGACCUGACCGAUAAAAGAAAUACGGGACCUGUAGACCCACUGUUGCCCAAACGAAGGGGUGAAAAAAUUGAUGUGGAAGAGUUAUUUCAGGUUACUAUAGGUACAAGAAUAGUACUGGUGGAUCGACCUGAACAUAAAAAACCCCAAAUUUUUCUGCCCCCUAUCAAGGCAUCCGCCAGAAGGGCCAACAGAUAA